CCAGUGCGGUAACGCAAACCAGCUCGGAGACGCCGAUGCGAGCCCCGGGAAGAGUUUUCUUUUCUCUGUAAGGAGAUCGAGUCCCUGGAAUGGGUUCGCCCCGAGAUAGGGAUGGUGGCUCCGUAGAGCAGUGCGGUUCUUGCGCUGUCCGGUGCGCUCGCGUCGGCCCUUGAAAAUCCGAGUGAGGGAGUGUGAUUUUCGUGCCGGACCGUACCCACAUCCGCAGCAGGUCUCCAAGGUGAACAGCCUCUAGUCGAUGGACCAAUGUAGGUAAGGGAAGUCGGCAAAACGGAUCCGUAACCUUGGGAUAAGGAUUGGCUCUGAGGACUGAGCCGGUCGGGCUGGGGACCUGAAGCAGGAACGGCACUGCACCGGGACUGGGCGGGGCUCGCCGUUCACGCGGCGCGGCCAAGCCCGGACCAGCGUCGGGACCUUCCUGUGGAAAGCCUCAGCUGCGCGGCGUCUGAGGGCUUCGUGCCCAAAGUGCUAUGCUUCGGCCGGCAAAAAACAGUCAACUCAGAACUGGCACGGACCGGGGGAAUCCGACUGUCUAAUUAAAACAAAGCAUUGCGAUGGCCGCUGGUCGGUGUUGACGCAAUGUGAUUUCUGCCCAGUGCUCUGAAUGUCAACGUGAAGAGAUUCAUCAAAGCGCGGGUAAACGGCGGGAGUAACUAUGACUCUCUUGUCACUGCAGUCCAGUGACGCACGUGCUAGGUUCUGGGCGGGGAAACUCCACCACAGCUACGAUGGGGCAGCACUCAAGGAGUGCAGUAAGGUCCCGGCCGCCCAACGUUGGGUGGCCGAGGGAACACACCUUCUGCCAGGCCGGGAGUUUAUAGACAUGGUGAAGCUACGCGUCAACGCCAUGCCAAACCGCACACGCACGAAGAGAGGCCAGGAGGGGAGCCAGAUGUGCCGGGCUGGGUGUAAUGCACCGGAGAGCCUUGGCCAUAUCCUGCAGCGGUGUCACCGCUCGGACUUCAAGAGGAUCAAACGGCACAAUAACAUCGUGCAGUUCCUGGCGUCCCGUCUGCGAAAGCUGAAGUGGGAUGUCCGGGUUGAGCCUACCAUUCGUACGUCGCAGGGUAGGAGGUUCCCCGACCUGGUGCUGUCGAG
Molecule: non-coding RNA, 1116 nt
Filed under: Ixodes scapularis (black-legged tick)
Lineage: Eukaryota; Metazoa; Arthropoda; Arachnida; Ixodida; Ixodidae
Description: Eukaryotic large subunit ribosomal RNA
Rfam family: Eukaryotic large subunit ribosomal RNA
Source: Rfam by way of RNAcentral